CAUCGCAUCCAACCACAAUACCUGCAAUUUGGGUGGCUAGCGUCGCCACCAUCUCUUUCACCGGCUGCCACUUCUUCCUCUUCCAUCUGCCACCGUCGGAGAGUUGAGUACACAGGAGAGUAGGGUUGUUCUUCUGCGUAUCAGCAGUUGCAAGGGGUCACCACGCGUUGCCCCCUUCAAUUGUGCUGUGGCCAUCUGGUCAGCCACAAGGAGAUCCAUUGCUGCAGUGACCCCAUUUGUGCUUGGAUUUGUGCCAAUGUUGUGUAUCAGUGAAUUCUGAGGCAGUGAGGGUUGUUGGACAGAUUUACCAUCGUUGGAAGAGCCACAAACUGCUGAUAAGGAUUUUCUCAACAAAAUUGGUUGGUUCAUUAAUCUGUACAAGAGAAGCAAUUUAUCUCAUGAAAUUCGAAGACAGGGAGAGCAAAAAGAAGAAAUUGAAGGCAUGGAUGCUAUUAGCUCGAGGAUGGAGGAACAAAAUAUUGAAAAGGAA
Zingiber officinale is the source of this 490-nucleotide long non-coding RNA. RefSeq lists it as uncharacterized. The record is from RefSeq and is a predicted model, not a curated record. NCBI's taxonomy places the organism in Eukaryota, Viridiplantae, Streptophyta, Magnoliopsida, Zingiberales, Zingiberaceae. The transcript has 3 exons.